UGUUAAAAAUUCCAUCCAUUUCUAUGGUUAAAAACUAACGUAGCUGAAGAAAUAACCAAUUAGUUACACUUGACGUGCCUCAUGUACUCUUAUGUAGACAUACAGGGACCAGUUUUUAACAAUAUAAAUGGAUAGAAUUUAUAACA
This is a microRNA precursor of Gossypium arboreum, 146 nucleotides long. It matches the Rfam family "MIR7502 microRNA precursor family". Lineage: Eukaryota; Viridiplantae; Streptophyta; Magnoliopsida; Malvales; Malvaceae. The record is from Rfam.